RNAcentral lists this ribosomal RNA (466 nucleotides) under uncultured bacterium. RNAcentral's name for it is "partial 16S ribosomal RNA". It matches the Rfam family "Bacterial small subunit ribosomal RNA", at positions 28 to 507 of the family's 1533-position model. The record is from RNAcentral.
GACGAACGCUGGCGGCGUGCUUAACACAUGCAAGUCGAACGGAAAGGCCCUGCUUGCAGGGUACUCGAGUGGCGAACGGGUGAGUAACACGUGGGUGAUCUGCCCUGCACUUCGGGAUAAGCUUGGGAAACUGGGUCUAAUACCGGAUAGGAACCAUCUUUAGUGUGGUGGUUGGAAAGUUUUUUCGGUGUAGGAUGAGCUCGCGGCCUAUCAGCUUGUUGGUGGGGUAAUGGCCUACCAAGGCGGCGACGGGUAGCCGGCCUGAGAGGGUGUACGGCCACAGUGGGACUGAGAUACGGCCCAGACUCCGACGGGAGGCAGCAGGGGGGAAUAUUGCACAAUGGGCGCAAGCCUGAGGCAGCGACGCCGCGUGGGGGAUGAAGGCCUUCGGGUUGUAAACUCCUGUCGCUAGGGAAGAAGCUUUGUUGUGACGGUACCUAGAUAAGAAGCACCGGCUAACUACGUG